Pseudoliparis swirei is the source of this 1555-nucleotide long non-coding RNA. RefSeq lists it as uncharacterized. The transcript has 7 exons. Lineage: Eukaryota; Metazoa; Chordata; Actinopteri; Perciformes; Liparidae. The record is from RefSeq and is a predicted model, not a curated record.
UUAAAUAUUUGGGUGCUUCAUUUUCUUUAAUUAAAGAACCACUAAACACUGGGCCUCUACUUGUGUGUUCUUGUGUUGAGGCUAACCGGGGAAAUAAUAGUAAUAAUACAAAUAAUAAUCUACCACUUCUGAGUAGACUCAAUGUAGAGGAAACGCUUCAUAUGGAUCAAUGUGUUGGAGUUCUGUUGACUGUAGACUAGUAAGUAUACUACAAAGGAAUUGAAUGACCAACCGUCGCCCCUCUCAGCCGGCCUUAAAAACAUACUAAGUGUGGAAAUAUAUAUAUAUAUAGCCUACCAUGUGUCUAUGUGUGUUUGUGUUAACCUAUAGGUAUUAUUACAACUUUACCAUAUAGUAUUUCAUUUGUAUUCAUACACUGCAAUGGAAAGAGUUAAUUGAAUAUACCAGCCUAUAAAUACAACUAAAUACAGACAUUUCUUUAGUUUCUUUCAAAACAAGUCAUCUUUUUCUAUAUUUGUUAUGUUACCACGCUAAAACCAUUGCUAUUGGCUGUCUCCCCACGUUGCUUUGAACAUGAUUGGAUAAUCUGCCUGUCACUCAGAGAACUGGCCAAUGAGAAAUGUCCGCGCCGCGGAUUUGAAAUUACGUCUGUUUGAGCGGGAAGCCGCAGCGGGGCAGGCGCUACUCGGCAGGUCUGCUAGUGUCUGCUGUUGACCUACCUGCAUUAUUACCUGAAGUAUUUUACAUAUGCCUGCGAUUUUAACUUGUGGGAUGUCAACGGAGAAAGAAAGACUGGGACACAGAGGAAGGAUCAUACGGGAUGUGGUGACCAGCAAAGUUACGUGAAUUGAUAUCCUGCAAAAUUAUUGAAGAUAUCAGCACUGGACCCUGAGCAGUGCAUGGCCUGCAAGAUCAUGAGAAGGCUGAAGAACCAGGAGUGACAAGAUACCACUGGAUGGUGGGGCACAUAAUUCCACUCAGGGACAGUGAUCUGAAAAUGUCUGUUUACCAACGGUCCCCAUCCAACCUGACAGAGCGUGUGAGGAUCUGCAGAAAAGAAUGGCAGAACAUCCCCAAAUCCAGGGUAUUGAGUGUAGAUUGAUGAGCUCAAUAAGGAUUGGAACAACAUUGACGGGGGGAAACACCCAAAGUCCAUCACUCAUGCACCGAGGAUCUGGCUGAUUACUGGAAAUUUGGAAGAUUGUUCUUUAUCUGCACUGUCACUUCUGGUAAAUAUUUAUGAAGAAGAAAUAUACUUUAUUAAUCCCCAAGGGGAAAUUAGUUCUCUGCAUUUAACCCAUCCUUAGUUAUUAAGGAGCAGUGGGCUGCAGUGAUGCGCCCAGGAAGCAACUGGGGGUUCAGUGCCUUGCUCAAGGACACUUCGACUUGCAACUAAUGGGGAGAGCCGGGAUCGAACCGACAACCUUGGGGUUGCAGGACGGCCCUCUUACCCCACUGAGCUACAGCCGCCCACAAUUAUGGACCUUUUGUGUGUGGAAGGAAGAGAAAGAAGGACAAAAAGAAUGGAACAAAUGAAGGAAGGAAGGUUAAAAAGAAUGUAAGGAAGGAAAAAACAAUGGAAGAAAGGAAAGAA